GUGGCUGUAGUGUAAUGGCAGCACGGCGUGCAUAGUUGCAUCAACAAAAAGGCGAUGUCAUCACGCAGGACCUGGUUCGAACCCUGGCAGUCACA
Molecule: non-coding RNA, 95 nt
Organism: Marasmius tenuissimus
Lineage: Eukaryota; Fungi; Basidiomycota; Agaricomycetes; Agaricales; Marasmiaceae
Source: the annotation of a GenBank genome assembly